CCUACGGGUGGCAGCAGUAGGGAAUCUUCCACAAUGGGCGCAAGCCUGAUGGAGCAACACCGCGUGAGUGAAGAAGGGUUUCCGCUCGUAAAGCUCUUUUGAUGGAGAAGAACGUGCGUGAGAGUAACCGUUCACGCAGUGACGGUAUUCAACCAGAACGUCACGGCUCACUACGUGCCAGCAGCCGAGGUAAUACGUAGGUGGCUAGCGUUAUCGGGAUUUAUUGGGCGUAAGGCGAGCGUAGGUGGGUGCUUAGGUCUGAUGUGAAAGCUUUCGGCUUAACCGGAGAAGUGCAUCGGAUACCGGGCGACUUGAGUACAGAAGAGGAAAGUGGAACUCGAGGUGUAGCGGUGGAAUGCGUAGAUAUAUGGAAGAACACCAGUGGCGAAGGCGGCUGUCUGGACUGCAACUGACGCUGAGGCUCGAAAGCAUGGGUAGCGAACAGGAUUAGAUACCCUAGUAGUC
Molecule: ribosomal RNA, 465 nt
Filed under: uncultured bacterium
Lineage: Bacteria
Description: partial 16S ribosomal RNA
Rfam family: Bacterial small subunit ribosomal RNA
Source: RNAcentral